GACGAACGCUGGCGGCGUGCUUAAUACAUGCAAGUCAACUGAAUUAUCGGUAGCAAUACUGGUAAGGAGGUGGCGCACGGGUGCGUAACGCGUAGGUAAUCUGCCCUUGGGUCUGACAUAACCCACCGAAAGGUGAGCUAAUAUCAGAUGAUGCAGCGGCUUGACAUCAAGACAGUUGUUAAAGCUUCGGCGCCCAUGGAUGAGCCUGCGCUGAUUAGGUAGUUGGCGGAGUAAAAGCCCACCAAGCCCACGAUCAGUAGCUGGUCUGAGAGGAUGAUCAGCCACACUGGAACUGAGACACGGUCCAGACUCCUACGGGAGCAGCAGUAAGGAAUAUUGCUCAAUGGGAGAAAUCCUGAAGCAGCAACGCCGCGUGAGGGAUGAAGG
RNAcentral lists this ribosomal RNA (387 nucleotides) under uncultured bacterium. RNAcentral's name for it is "bacterial SSU rRNA". It matches the Rfam family "Bacterial small subunit ribosomal RNA", at positions 28 to 414 of the family's 1533-position model. The record is from RNAcentral.